GAUGAGUGGAUCAAGAUGUAUCUUUCGUGCAGAUGUAUCAAGAUCCUUUCACUUAAGAUCCAUGCAGGCGCAAGCUUUGGAUGAACUUCUGCUUCUGCGGUCGGCAUUCUUACAGGAGAACCCAAGAUUCAUUGUACCUACCUGUAUGCAUUUCAAAACUGAAUAAUUGAUAGCAACAAGUAAAUAUUUGAAGUUGCAGCCAAAUGCUGUGCCUUCUCUGCUGCAAGAGCUACAUGUCACCAUUGAAGCAAGGACCAGCUCGACUCCUGCAGUAGGAGUCCAGCCUCGUCCAGUCGUCGCCGCUCGCCAAG
Long non-coding RNA from Amphibalanus amphitrite, 311 nucleotides. RefSeq lists it as uncharacterized. The record is from RefSeq and is a predicted model, not a curated record. Lineage: Eukaryota; Metazoa; Arthropoda; Thecostraca; Balanomorpha; Balanidae. The transcript has 3 exons.